AACGAACGCUGGCGGCAUGCCUAACACAUGCAAGUCGAACGAGACCUUCGGGUCUAGUGGCGCACGGGUGCGUAACGCGUGGGAACCGGCCCUUAGGUUCGGAAUAACUCCCCGAAAGGGGUGCUAAUACCGGAUAAUGUCCUCGGAUCAACGAUUUAUCGCCUUUGGAUGGGCCGGCGUUCGAUUAGCUUGUUGGUAGGGUAAAAGCCUAUCAAGGCGACGAUCCAUAGCUGGUCUGAGAGGAUGAUCAGCCACACUGGGAGUGGGACACGGCCCAGACUCCUACGGAAGGCAGCAGUGGGGAAUAUUGGACAAUGGGCGGAAGCCUGAUCCAGCAAUGCCGCGUGAGUGAUGAAGGCCUUAGGGUUGUAAAGCUCUUUUACCCGGGAUGAUAAUGACAGUACCGGGAGAAUAAGCUCCGGCUAACUCCGU
RNAcentral lists this ribosomal RNA (432 nucleotides) under uncultured bacterium. Its description in RNAcentral is "partial 16S ribosomal RNA". It matches the Rfam family "Bacterial small subunit ribosomal RNA", at positions 29 to 506 of the family's 1533-position model. The record is from RNAcentral.